UACGAAGGGGGCUAGCGUUGCUCGGAAUCACUGGGCGUAAAGGGUGCGUAGGCGGGUCUUUAAGUCAGGGGUGAAAUCCUGGAGCUCAACUCCAGAACUGCCUUUGAUACUGAAGAUCUUGAGUUCGGGAGAGGUGAGUGGAACUGCGAGUGUAGAGGUGAAAUUCGUAGAUAUUCGCAAGAACACCAGUGGCGGAAGGCGGCUCACUGGCCCGAUACUGACGCUGAGGCA
This 231-nucleotide ribosomal RNA is filed under the name uncultured bacterium. RNAcentral's name for it is "partial 16S ribosomal RNA". It matches the Rfam family "Bacterial small subunit ribosomal RNA", at positions 524 to 753 of the family's 1533-position model. The record is from RNAcentral.